GAAAUCCUCAUGUUAACGGUUCCAAUCUCCAAUCCAGAUUGGUAGG
RNAcentral lists this transfer RNA (46 nucleotides) under Solanum linnaeanum. RNAcentral describes it as "partial tRNA-Phe". The record is from RNAcentral. Lineage: Eukaryota; Viridiplantae; Streptophyta; Magnoliopsida; Solanales; Solanaceae.